This is an RNA transcript of Argentina anserina (silverweed cinquefoil), 2459 nucleotides long. RefSeq lists it as uncharacterized. The record is from RefSeq and is a predicted model, not a curated record. Lineage: Eukaryota; Viridiplantae; Streptophyta; Magnoliopsida; Rosales; Rosaceae. The transcript is spliced from 4 exons.
GUAGAAAAAUAUAUAGAGAAAUCUCAACAGACUUCACAGUCCACAGUCAGUUACAGCAGGUCUCUCUAAUCCGGAAUGGCCCAGAUCAUCACAAUCUUUAUCUUCUAAUUCACACUCCCCACAUUUUCUCCACUUACCUGAAUUUUCGCACUGUGUUGUGCUUUUCCGGCGGUUCUUGGCGGCGAGCGGUGGAGAGAGAAAUGAGCAUUUGGGGUGACGACGACGAUGUCAUUGUCAGCCAACCCCAACUCCGGUCCCAGUCCCAAUUCCAAAGACCAAAUCAAUCACCGAUCACCGAAGAGCCGUCGAUGGCGGCAGAGCCAGGUGGCGACGGCUGUUUUCGCCAUCGCGGCGCUCUUGAUCUCCACCGCCGCGUGGCUCUCUCUAGUCUUCUCUGGCGGCAGCCAUCCGUCGCUCCCCGUCGCGCGCUUGCAGAACAAGGCGCCUCCUCCGUCUUUCGCUCGGCUUCGAAACGACACCGUUGCGGUUUUCGAAGACGACGAGCCGGACUGGUGGAGCAGCAGCGACGAGGAGCUGUCGCUGGACGACGUCGUUUUCGGGAUCGCCGGGUCGUCGGGGCUCUGGAAGCAGCGGAAGGAGUACGUCAGGCUGUGGUGGCGACCGGACGACAUGCGCGGCCACGUCUGGAUGGAGGAGAGAGUUCCUGCGUCACAAAACGACGAGUCGUUGCCUCCGAUCAUGGUCUCCGAGGACAUCUCCAGGUUCCGGUACACCAACCCGACGGGCCACCCCUCGGGGCUCCGAAUCUCCCGCAUAAUCUCCGAGUGCUUCCGCCUCCACCUCCCCCGAGUCCGGUGGUUCGUGCUCGCGGACGACGACACCAUCAUCAACGCCGAUAACCUCGUGGUGGUUCUGAGCAAAUACGACGCGUCGGAGAUGGUUUAUGUGGGGAGCCCGUCGGAGAGUCACUCGGCCAAUACUUACUUUAGUCAUUCCAUGGCUUUCGGCGGUGGAGGUAUUGCGAUCAGCUAUCCUCUGGCGAAAGCUCUCUCUGAAAUUCAAGAUGAGUGUCUCGAAAGGUAUCCGAAGCUUUACGGCAGUGAUGAUCGACUCCAUGCCUGCAUUACUGAGCUCGGAGUUCCCUUAACCAGAGAGCCUGGCUUCCAUCAGUGUGAUAUUAGAGGUAACGCGCAUGGUCUACUAUCGUCUCAUCCGAUAGCACCGUUUGUGUCGAUUCACCAUGUUGAAGCUGUGGAUCCUAUCUAUCCCGGAUUAAGCUCUUUACAGAGUUUGAGGCUCUUUACGCAGGCUAUGAGACUCCAACCCCGCAGCUUUUUGCAGCGGUCCAUGUGUUAUGAUCACCGACACCGUCUCACAUAUUCAGUUUCUCUUGGUUAUGUUGUUGAAGUUUUCCCACAAAUUGUGCUUCCUCGUGACCUUGAGCGGUCAGAGAAGACUUACUCUGCUUGGAAUGGAAUCAGUAAGGGGAUUGAAUUUGAUUUGGAUACAAAAGAUGCGUACAGGUCUGUUUGUAAGAAACCUAUCCUGUUCUUCUUGAAAGAUAUCAGGUCACAGGGUAAUGCUACCUUGGGCUCAUAUAUGAGGAGUAAGGCAAAAGAUGAUUUUAAAAGAACUGUUCUCUGCUUUCCCCGAUCCCGGCAUUUGCGCCAUUUACAAGAAAUUCAGGUUUUGGGCCAUCCUCUCACCAAGAAAUGGCAUUUGGUACCACGCCGGCUAUGUUGCAAACUGAACCAAAACAGUGAUGAAGUCCUUAGAUUAACAGUUGGACAAUGUACUAAGGGACCUUCUGGUUCUAGAACUGAUCUUAGAUGGUAAUGCUUAUUAAUUGUUAACAUUGAUGAUCUGGUAGAAGGUCUGCGGCUUUUAUCUGUGGCCCCAGUGAAUGGUUUUGAUUGCUGAGUUGCUGUUAUCCAUUCAGCUGAUGUCGGCCAAAUUCUGGAAACUUGUGCUUGCAUUUACGAAGGGCCUUUAUUCUACACAAAAACACCAAAGACAAGCACUCGAACCAUGAUGGCAUUCUUUCCCUUCAUUUUUGAUCCAAAGCAGCCUCAUAAGUUAGAGUGCGAAGGAAUUGUGUGAGGAAAAUCAGAAUUAGUGGUCUAGCAGUUUUGGCGAGAAAUUCAAAUGGCGCGUUAAUUGGUGGUUUAACGUCUCAUUCUAUGGCUUCUUCAGCAAUUGCGGUGGAAGCUAAAGCUAUUGAGCUUGGAUUAUCUUUAGCCAAUUCUCUUUCUAUCUCUUCCUUUGUGCUGGAAUCAGACUGUCUUGUUCUUAUUUCAGCCUUUUUAAAUCCACUCUCGCUGGUGGAUUGGUCAGCUGGUUCUAUUGUGACUUCCAUAAGAUCUCAGAUGACUUCUUUUGAGUGAAUAUUCUGGCGUUGGGCCAGCAGAAAAGCUAAUGCUGCAGCUGAUCUGGUUGCUUCGUUGGCUUUGAAGAACGAGUGCCCUGUGGACUGGGUUUCUAAUCCUCCAACCUCCCUC